GUUUGGGUGUAAAUGGGAUCAAGAAAGAUGAAGCCUUCUGCAGACCCUGGGCAGAGUCAGGUCUGAGAGCCGGAACCAGGACCCUCACCUUCCCUUCCUUUCCCUUCCUUCCCUAGAGACUCCUCAGUCCUUCCCCAUCAUGACCAUUGUUGGUGCUGUCCUUGGAGCUGUGCUGAUCUUAGGUUUUAUCAUUGGAGGUGUUAUGAUGUGGAUGAGGAAGAACACAGGUGGAGAAGGAGGCUAUGCUCCUGCUGCAGGCAGGGACAGUGCCUAGAACUCUGACUUUUACAUGGAGGAUUGAAAAGGAAAACAUCGGGGCCCAACCCAGUCCUGCACACCAGGACCCUGUGCCUGCACGGCAUUUGUUGCCUUCCACAGCCAACCUUCCUGUCCAGCAGCCAGGAGGGACAUCUCCAUCCUGUCACCUCCAUGCUGCCCUGAGCUGCAGCCCUUGACUUCCCACUGAAAAUAAGAACCUGAAUGUGAACUUGAUGUUCAAGUCCUUGACCUGAGAGACUAGCAGGUCAAGUUAAAGGAGAGGAUUCUGAAAGUGUGAUGGAAACUAUGAAUGGCAGCUUGGAGAA
Molecule: non-coding RNA, 584 nt
Organism: Peromyscus maniculatus bairdii (prairie deer mouse)
Lineage: Eukaryota; Metazoa; Chordata; Mammalia; Rodentia; Cricetidae
Source: RefSeq, a predicted model, not a curated record